UACGAAGGGGGCUAGCGUUGUUCGGAUUUACUGGGCGUAAAGCGCACGUAGGCGGAUUGUUAAGUCAGGGGUGAAAUCCUGGAGCUCAACUCCAGAACUGCCUCUGAUACUGGCAAUCUCGAGUCCGGAAGAGGUGAGUGGAACUCCUAGUGUAGAGGUGGAAUUCGUAGAUAUUAGGAAGAACACCAGUGGCGAAGGCGGCUCUCUGGCCCGUAACUGGCGCUGAGGCACGAAAGCGUGGGGGGCAAACAGG
RNAcentral lists this ribosomal RNA (253 nucleotides) under uncultured bacterium. RNAcentral's name for it is "partial 16S ribosomal RNA". It matches the Rfam family "Bacterial small subunit ribosomal RNA", at positions 524 to 776 of the family's 1533-position model. The record is from RNAcentral.